UUUUUUUUUUUUUUUUUGAGACAGAGUCUCGCUCUGUGGCGCAGGCUGGAGUGCAGUGGCCGGAUCUCAGCUCACUGCAAGCUCCGCCUCCCGGGUUUACGCCAUUCUCCUGCCUCAGCCUCCUGAGUAGCUGGGACUACAAGCGCCUGCCACCUCGCCCGGCUAGUUUUUUUGUACUUUUUAGUAGAGACGGGGUUUCACUGUGUUAGCCAGGAUGGUCUCGAUCUCCUGACCUCGUGAUCCGCCCGUCUCGGCCUCCCAAAGUGCUGGGAUUACAGGCUUGAGCCACCGCGCCCGGCCAAGCUUAAUUUUUUUAGUUGGCUAAAAAAAAUCAGAAUAUACACAUUUUACAAACUCUUCUGCUGUCCUAAUCUAAUUAUUCAUUAUUCAUGUAUUACAAUUAUAAUCUGAAUAUUUUCUUAGGAGCACAGGACACCUUUCAAACUUCCAAUGGUGUUUCUGGAACAUUUGGUUUGAUGAUUAUCACUACUAUUUAAAUCUUUUAUUGCUUCCUACAAUCUUCUCUAAAUUAUUUGAAGGCAAUGACCAUGACUUACUAAUUUUAUAUUCUUAACUUCUGAAACAAACACACAAUGGCCAUGAAAUUUAGAAUGAAUAUCAUAUCAAUUAUCAAUGUUAGGUAUAAACUAGACUUAACAUUUUCAAUAAAUGGCUGACUUUGAACUAGUUAUCUAUAUUUGAUUAUGUUUAAGAUCAAUCCAUUUAAUGAUAUCCCUUCCAAAGCAUUAACAGGUUGAUCGAGAUGUUACUGUACUUUCUGAAAAGAAAAGAAAGUUAAUUACUUUUAUAAUACUUCUUAAGGACAAAACUCAAGAGGGGAAUUUCUGGAAAUUCCUAUUAUCAUAUCACACUAUGAAGAAAUAAACUAGCAACUGUCAUAUAGGUCUUGCAAUCCUCAUUUUUAAGACCAAAAAAAACCCAUGUUACAUCAAUAAAAACAAGAUCCGAAUUAAGAAUUUCCAACAACAUUGCAAGCCAUGAUGAAGGUUUCUCAACAGAACUCAAUUUGGUUCUGUUAUCUUAUUAGAAUUAAACAUUUCUCUCAAAUGUUUAUUGGUAGGUAAGAUCACAUAAGUUAUAUACUGAGAAUAAUUCAUGUUAACUGUUCAGCUGGUGGAGUACUCACACUUCUUUAAGGCCACAUAUAUCUAUAUACAUUUAAGUAAUCUGCCACAGCCAGAAUUUUUUUUUUUUUUGAGACAGGGUCUCAUUCUGUCAUCCAGGCUGGAGGGCAAUGGCACAGUCUCAGCUCACUGCAGCCUCUACCUCCCAGCUUCAAGUGAUUCUCCCACCUCAGCCUCCUGAGUAGCUGGGACUACAGCUACUCGGGAGGCCAGGCAGGAGUAUUGCUUGAACCUGGGAGGCAGAGGUUGCAGUGAGCUGAGAUCGUGCCACUGCACUCCAGCCUGGUGACAGAGCAAGACUCCGUUAAAAAAAAAAAAAAAAACAGUUUUAAAAACCAUCUUUCUUUCUGUACCAGGGAGGAUAACAUUUCUUCUAAGAAUACAUAUGGAAAGCAGGUUCUCUACACCCACCAAUUUUAGGGGCCAGCAUAGUGGCUUCGUUAUGUGUAAUUCUGUAUCUUGCAUACAAAAGCAAACACACACUCAGGUCUGAUAAGUAAGCCCUUUAACAAACUCUUCUCUAUGGCCUUGAAAAAUACAGGACUAAGUCCCAGUGCGCUGGCUCACGCCUCCCAAAAGUGGCUUCCUAAAGACCAAAAUCCAAUACAUUUUGGCUUAAGUUUUUAAUAAAUGAAUGAUGAAAAAAGAGCAAAACAAAUGACAACUAUCAACAUAAAACAAACAAAAAAGCCUAAGUAAUCCUUAAUUUCAGACAAAACUAUAUUACUUUAAACUCUAGAUUAGCUUUAUUUUAGACAUAAUUUAAAGAGCUUUUAAGUACACAUCAACUUUCCCACUUAGUUCUAACCUCACAUUAGGUCUUUCCACUCUAGCAGUAAAGAAUGUACACUUUAAGUCAGGUAGCACAGGGUUUGAAUCCUGGCCUUGCCACUUCAUAGACAGGUGGCCAAUAGCCACAAAUAUGAAGUUACUUAACCUCAAUCUUUGAGUUCCUUAUAGGUAAAGUAGGUAGGAACAAUACUACCUACCUUGCAGGGUUGUAAACUACAUGAUAUACACAGAAUAUAAAAUGCCUCCUUAGUACAGAGCAUGGUGCAUAGUACUUACACUAUAUUAGUAGGUGUUACUAAUCUAUCAUUUUAAAAAAAAGCAUGCCAUGAAAAAAGAAACAGCAGAAUGUUUUCCACCCAUACUUCAUCUACACUAUUUUUAUUUUUCAAAAUAAAAUUCUAGAGCUGAAAAUCAGACUUUAAAAAAAAUCAGUUUUCAGGGAUCACCUUCUAGCUCCUCUUUACAUAAAGGACACAUUUGUCGUCUCUGUUCUUCAUGAGAAUUUCCCAGCUGUUGAUCUAAAUUGUCUUUAUUUUUUAAGACAAGGUCUCACUCUGUAGCCCAAGUUGUAGUACAGUGGCGUGAUCUCAGCUCACUGCAACUUCCACCUCCAAGGCUCAAGCGAUUCUCAUGCCUCAGCCUCCUGAGUAGCUGCGACUACAGGCAUGCGCCACCAUGCCUGGCUAAAUUUUUGUAUUUUAGUAAAGAUGGAGUUUCACCAUGUUGCCUAGGGUGGUCUCGAACUCCUGAGCUCAGACGAUCCGCCAGCCUCAGCUUCCCAAAGUGCUGGGAUUACAGGUAUGAGCGACAGUGCCCGGCUGAAAGUUGUUUUAAAAAAGUCACCUUUAGGGCUGGGCACUGUGGCUCACGCCUGUAAUCUCAGCACUUUGGAAGGCCGCGGUGGGUGGAUUACUUGAGGUCAGGAGUUCCAGACCAGCCUGGCCAACACGACAAAACCCUCUCUCUACUAAAAAUACAAAAACUGUUGGGGCGUGGUGGUAGCUGCCUGUAAUCCCAGCUACUUGGGAGGCUGAGGCAGGGAGAAUCACUUGAACCCAGAAGGCGGAGGUUGCAGUUUGCUGUGAUCGCGCCACCGCACUCCAGCCUGGGCGAGAGAGCUAGACUCUGUCUCAAAAAAAAAAAAAA
This is a long non-coding RNA of Macaca fascicularis (crab-eating macaque), 3083 nucleotides long. NCBI's taxonomy places the organism in Eukaryota, Metazoa, Chordata, Mammalia, Primates, Cercopithecidae. The record is from Ensembl.